RNAcentral lists this ribosomal RNA (253 nucleotides) under uncultured bacterium. Its description in RNAcentral is "partial 16S ribosomal RNA". It matches the Rfam family "Bacterial small subunit ribosomal RNA", at positions 524 to 776 of the family's 1533-position model. The record is from RNAcentral.
UACGUAGGCAGCAAGCGUUGUUCGGAGUUACUGGGCGUAAAGGGUGUGUAGGCGGUUUUCUAAGUUUGGUGUGAAAUCUCCCGGCUCAACUGGGAGGGUGCGCCGAAAACUGGAAAGCUAGAGUACUGGAUGGGAGAGUGGAAUUCCUGGUGUAGCGGUGAAAUGCGUAGAUAUCAGGAGGAACACCUGUGGUGUAGACGGCUCUCUGGACAGUCACUGACGCUGAGACACGAAAGCGUGGGUAGCAAACAGG